CGACCUGGUUAAGUUUGCCAAGGAACCAGGCUAGACGCACAUUUCUCGAGAUCCGAUAUUCCUCCUUCAUCAGCAGGUAGAUCUGGUCAGCCUCCUCCACCUCAUGAGAAGAGACAUGUACAAACAUUCAGCAUAGGGACUGCAGGGAUGGUAGCGAGCCUCGGAAGAUUCACUCAGAUUUCAAGAAUACCCAAUGAACAAAAGCAUCAAAAAUGAACCACAACAGCCUUCAAUCUUGCAGUUCCUGGACAAUCGUGUCGGGCAUUACAGUAUGAGUCAUCCACAGAAGAAAGGUAUCACCAAUGCAAUACAGUCUGACUUGAUUAUUGAUUGCAACUUGCCCGUCUAUUGUGGAAAACAAGAGUUUUCGGCACUUUCUGACAGUACUUGAGAGGAAGUACAGCCCAGUGUGUUGCAGAACACUGACAUCAAAGACAGAGAACUGAAGAAAGACGUUUAAAAUUAAAUACCGUACUCAAUUGAGCAACACUGACAGUGUUUCAGUCACUGUGGACAUUUAGUGUGACAGAAUGAUGAAGGGAUUCCUUGGUGUCACUGUGCACUGGAUAAACAAGGAGGCAGAGAGGACACAGCUCAAGUCCAAUCUCUUGGCCUGUGAGUGCUUCAAAGGCUCAUACAUAGCUGAAAGAAUCUGUGACCAAUUUGAGGCAAUAUGUGAUGAAUACAACAUUAAAGCUAAACUGGACUACAUUAUUAGUGACAGUGCUGCUAAUGUGCGAAAAGCAUUCACUGUGUGCUUCCUCACUGAACAAGAGGAUGAUGAUGACAGAGAUCAUCUUGAUGACCCUGAGCUCUGGUGUGACUUAACCCUGGAAGAUCAGCAAACAGCAGAUGUUGCUAUGGAAAAGAAACAGCGCUUGCAGUGUUUUGCGCAAACUCUUCAGCUGGUGGUGUGAGAUGGUUUGAAAAAAACAAAAGUGGUAUCUCCAUCUCUUUUUCGAAGUUAUCAAAACUCAGCUCACUGCUGCACACAAGCACAACAUUCAAUUAUGUGUUUUAUGCUGAAUUUGGGGAACAGAAGGGCAUCCCUGCUGCAGUCAACAUAAGAUGGAGCAACACUGAGGCAAGUGAAGGCAGUUAUCCAGUGCAAUCAUCUAAAGCUCUGUGCUGUUCUCGAAAAGGCUGGACACAGGGAGUUGUCAUUCACAGCGCGGGAGUGGAAUCUGUUGAAGGGCUUGGUGGAUAUCUUGAAGCCAUUUGGAGAAGCAAUUGAUUUGACACAGGGGGAGAAGGUCAUCACAAUCAGUGCUGUUGUUCCAUCCAUCUUUUCCCUCAACGACCGCAUUGAGAAACUGAAGCAUCAAGUCUGUUUUCCUGAGCAGCCUAGUCAGAAGUCUCCAGGCAUCCCUGAGCAAAAGAUUUCUGGGAAUCUUCAGUAACGUGAAAAUGGCCAGGACACAAGAUGGGACCACUGCCCCCUUUUCAGAUCCAGUCAAAGCAGCUGCCUUGGGUCCAGCCUUUGCUCUGUUGUGGGUGGAGCCCCAUGUGCUGGUCAGUCGUGAUGUCAAGGCAGAGGUGGCACAAUGAGUUAAAGAAUCAGAGACUGAGCAUCCUUUUGUUCAUGAAGAAGAGCAAGAGGACCUUAGAGAAGGAGAAGGGCUGUUUGCUGCAUACCAUACGAGACAGAAGAAGUAUGUUGGGACUACCACAGCACUACAGCCAAGUCACUACCUUGACAUAGCUGAAGGACAGAAUACCCUUUUGUUCUGGACAUUGAACAUGAAGAGUCUUCCUUGACUGUUCCAAAUGGCCAUUAGAGUCUUGGCAGUGCCUGCCUCCAGUGCUACAGUGGAGCGAGUUUUCAGCCAUGGUGGCAUCAUACUACGUCCCCAUCGUCCUCAAAUGACUGACAGACUUUUGGCCAAUUUGGUCUUUUGCAAAUGCAAUGCAACAUAGGGCCCUGACAUAUAAAAAGCACAACCCUGUUCAUUGUUAUGUUCAUGUAUUUGUUAUGUUUCUCAUGUGCACACACCCACACAUAAAGACACAGACAGUAUGAGAUGAGAUAAAUGAGGUGAGAUAAGGACAAGACAGAAACUGCUGUGGAACUAGUUAAAUGCAAUAUGCCAUGAAAAUACAAUGUUAGCACUUUUGUACAAAUAAGUACAGUUGCACUUGUUUUUUCAGAUGUGUUUGUUCUGUAAAGGAAUGAGUUAAAUGUUAAAAAUGACUGGUUAAUAGUGCAAUUUCAGUUGCACUUGU
This is a long non-coding RNA of Acanthopagrus latus (yellowfin seabream), 2223 nucleotides long. RefSeq lists it as uncharacterized. The record is from RefSeq and is a predicted model, not a curated record. Lineage: Eukaryota; Metazoa; Chordata; Actinopteri; Spariformes; Sparidae. The transcript is spliced from 4 exons.